RNAcentral lists this ribosomal RNA (254 nucleotides) under uncultured bacterium. Its description in RNAcentral is "partial 16S ribosomal RNA". It matches the Rfam family "Bacterial small subunit ribosomal RNA", at positions 524 to 776 of the family's 1533-position model. The record is from RNAcentral.
UACGGAGGGUGCGAGCGUUGUCCGGAAUUAUUGGGCGUAAAGAGCUCGUAGGCGGUGUGUCGCGUCGGCCGUGAAAACCUGCAGCUUAACUGUGGGCGUGCGGUCGAUACGGGCAUCACUGGAGUUCGGCAGGGGAGACUGGAAUUCCUGGUGUAGCGGUGAAAUGCGCAGAUAUCAGGAGGAACACCGGUGGCGAAGGCGGGUCUCUGGGCCGUAACUGACGCUGAGGAGCGAAAGCGUGGGGAGCGAACAGG